AAACUUUCAACAACGGAUCUCUUGGUUCUGGCAUCGAUGAAGAACGCAGCGAAAUGCGAUAAGUAAUGUGAAUUGCAGAAUUCAGUGAACCAUCGAAUCUUUGAACGCACAUUGCGCCCGCCAGUAUUCUGGCGGGCAUGCCUGUCCGAGCGUCAUU
This 157-nucleotide ribosomal RNA is filed under the name Pseudonectria foliicola. Its description in RNAcentral is "5.8S ribosomal RNA". It matches the Rfam family "5.8S ribosomal RNA". Rfam says of the family: 5.8S ribosomal RNA (5.8S rRNA) is a component of the large subunit of the eukaryotic ribosome. The record is from RNAcentral. Lineage: Eukaryota; Fungi; Ascomycota; Sordariomycetes; Hypocreales; Nectriaceae.